CUCCAAGCCCCGCUUUGGGGUCCACCACCCAACGAACCCCCACUUUGGGGUCUCCACCCAACGUACCCCAACUUUGGGGUCUCCACCAUCCAAAAAACACCAACUUUGGGGUCUCCAACCCCAAAUUUGGGGUCCACCACCCAACAAACCCCAACUUUGAGGUCCACCACCCAACGUACCCGAACUUUGGGGUCUCUCCACCACCCAAUGUACCCCAACUUUGGGGUCCACCACCCAAUGAACCCCAACUUUGGGGUCUCCACCAUCCAAAAAACACCAACUUUGGGGUCUCUAACCCGAGCUUUGGGGCCCACCACCCAAUGUACCCCAACUUUGGGGUCUCCACCACCCAAUGUACCCCAACUUUGGGGUCCACCACCCAACGAACCCCAAC
Long non-coding RNA from Numida meleagris (helmeted guineafowl), 394 nucleotides. The record is from Ensembl. Lineage: Eukaryota; Metazoa; Chordata; Aves; Galliformes; Numididae.